Molecule: ribosomal RNA, 370 nt
Filed under: Clostridioides difficile
Lineage: Bacteria; Bacillati; Bacillota; Clostridia; Peptostreptococcales; Peptostreptococcaceae
Description: partial 23S ribosomal RNA
Rfam family: Bacterial large subunit ribosomal RNA
Source: RNAcentral
UCAGGUGGCCGCAGAGAAUAGGCCCAAGCGACUGUUUACCAAAAACAUAGGUUUCUGCUAAGUCGCAAGACGAUGUAUAGGAGCUGACGCCUGCCCGGUGCUGGAAGGUUACGGGGAUCUGUUAGAGUAAUCGAAGCAGUGAACUUAAGCUCCAGUAAACGGCGGCCGUAACUAUAACGGUUCUAAGGUAGCGAAAUUCCUUGUAGGGCAAGUUUCGACUCGCACGUAAGGCGUAAUGAAUUGGGCAGUGUCUCAACAACAGACACGGUGAAAUUGUAAUUCCGGUGAAGAUGCCGGAUACCUGCGACAGGACGGAAAGACCCCAUGGAGCUUUACUGUAGCUUGACAUUGGGUCUUGGUACUACAUGUA